GAGUUUGAUUCUGGCUCAGAUUGAACGCUGGCGGCAUGCUUUACACAUGCAAGUCGAACGGCAGCACAGGGAGCUUGCUCCUGGGUGGCGAGUGGCGAACGGGUGAGUAAUGUAUCGGAACGUGCCUGGUAGUGGGGGAUAACUACUCGAAAGAGUGGCUAAUACCGCAUGAGAUCUUUGGAUGAAAGCGGGGGACCUUUGGGCCUCGCGCUACUGGAGCGGCCGAUAUCAGAUUAGGUUGUUGGUGGGGUAAAGGCCUACCAAGCCUGCGAUCUGUAGCUGGUCUGAGAGGACGACCAGCCACACUGGGACUGAGACACGGCCCAGACUCCUACGGGAGGCAGCAGUGGGGAAUUUUGGACAAUGGGCGCAAGCCUGAUCCAGCAAUGCCGCGUGCAGGACGAAGGCCUUCGGGUUGUAAACUGCUUUUGUACAGAACGAAAAGUCUCUGGCUAAUAUCUAGAGAUCAUGA
RNAcentral lists this ribosomal RNA (472 nucleotides) under Brachymonas sp. canine oral taxon 015. Its description in RNAcentral is "bacterial SSU rRNA". It matches the Rfam family "Bacterial small subunit ribosomal RNA", at positions 9 to 475 of the family's 1533-position model. The record is from RNAcentral. Lineage: Bacteria; Pseudomonadati; Pseudomonadota; Betaproteobacteria; Burkholderiales; Comamonadaceae.